GAUGAACGCUGGCGGCGUGCCUAAUACAUGCAAGUCGAGCGAACAGACCAUGAGCUUGCUCCUCUUACGUUAGCGGCGCACGGGUGAGUGACACUUGGAUAACCUACCUCUAAGACUGGCAUAACUUCGAGAAACCGGAGCUAAUACCAGAUAAUAUAUUGAACCCCAGAGUGCAAUAGUAAAAGACGGUUUUUCUGUCACUUAUAGAUGGGUCGGCGCCGCAUUAGCUAGUUGGUAAGGUAACGGCAUACCAAGGCAACGAUGCGUAGACGACCUGAGAGGGGGGUAGGCUCCCCUGGAACGGAGCCAAGGUCCGGACUAAUAAGGGAGGGAGCAGAAGGGAAUGUUACGCAAUGGGCGAAAGCAUGACGGAGCACCGCCAAGUGAGUGAUGAAGGUAUUGGGAUAGGAAUACUCUGUUAUUAGGGAAAAACAAAUGUGUAAGUAACUAUGCACGUCUUGACGGUACCUAAUGAGAAAGCACCGGCUAACUACGUG
This 497-nucleotide ribosomal RNA is filed under the name uncultured bacterium. RNAcentral describes it as "partial 16S ribosomal RNA". It matches the Rfam family "Bacterial small subunit ribosomal RNA", at positions 28 to 507 of the family's 1533-position model. The record is from RNAcentral.